AUUUAGCCCCGAUAGUAGCGGCAUCCUUUUAUCCCGAUUUUGCUUUGGGAUAAAAGAUAUAGCGAAUAGCGGGAAAUAGC
This 80-nucleotide small RNA is filed under the name Flavobacterium degerlachei. Its description in RNAcentral is "Flavo-1 RNA". It matches the Rfam family "Flavo-1 RNA". The record is from RNAcentral. Lineage: Bacteria; Pseudomonadati; Bacteroidota; Flavobacteriia; Flavobacteriales; Flavobacteriaceae.